RNAcentral lists this long non-coding RNA (246 nucleotides) under Medicago truncatula (barrel medic). RNAcentral describes it as "lncRNA gene24339". The record is from RNAcentral. Lineage: Eukaryota; Viridiplantae; Streptophyta; Magnoliopsida; Fabales; Fabaceae.
GUGGUUGGUUCCCUUAUAGGGGAGGUUAUAUUCAUUUGCUUGAAUAUGGAGACAUCGUCGAUAUGUGUAUCACUUCCUGUCGCAACAAGUAAGAAGUUCGUGUGUACUUUGAACAUCCAACAAAAGUGUCAUUAGUUAUUGCACAUGCACCUAUGAGGAAACAAUAUGGUUGAAGAAAGUGUUGAUGAACGAGAUGUUACAGAAAAAGGAGUUGAUUUUUUGAAGAUGUACUAAUUGAAGCUGGUG